This is a long non-coding RNA of Falco peregrinus (peregrine falcon), 5407 nucleotides long. RefSeq lists it as uncharacterized. Lineage: Eukaryota; Metazoa; Chordata; Aves; Falconiformes; Falconidae. The record is from RefSeq and is a predicted model, not a curated record. The transcript has 3 exons.
CAAACUAAUACAGCAUAUAAGUGAUCCAUGCAAACAGAAUCCCUCUGGGAUAGAAUUCACUGCAGCAUACAUCUGCCAUCAAGCUUAAUAUCUGUAUCAUGGUAUCUUUUCUGCUCCCAAGGCUCACUUUUUUCAUAACUUUUUUUUGUGUUGAGGCUGGUUCACCAUAAAAAGAACAACUGCUCUUUGUCAGCCUUAAUCUUUUCAAGGUGAUUUAGAUUGUUUGUUUUUUGUUGAAAGAGCAUAAGGGACAAAUAACUGUCCCAUAUACCCGGGGACCUGUUUGGUUUUUUUUUUUCUUUUUCCUGUCCUUUCUAUUCCUGACUGGGUUUUCUCUGUGCAGCCCUGGUGAGGAAUCUCUGCACCUUCAGAACUGAGCAGAGCUUUGCUUCCACAAGCACAGUGUAGGUCAAGACUCUAUGUGGCUCAUUUGUGGAUGAUAAUGAGAUCUUCAAGCAUUUAAUGGGACUUGUAGAUAAUUUCAGGUACCAAAGAAAGUCACUUGCUCAGGCUGUCAAAAUGGAUCCAGUUAAUACCAGUUGCACAGGUGAAUAUUAUCUACAGUACCACACCAACAUCUAUUUCACAAGGAAAGAACUGAUGACAGUGAUUCAUUUUAUAUGUCAGUAAGUAAUCAUUUGAUCAUAACCAUUAUCAUCAUUGUAAAUGGUAACUUUUAAUCAACAGCAAUAAAUCUAUUGCUCCACUUGAGUUGAGAAUCAGUAGAUAGCAAUUUCCAUUCUGUUAUCAACCACAGUAGUGGUACUGUGUUAUUAAAUAGACAGUAUUUUUUUUCACUGACUGAAAGAACGAAAUGUAUGUGUAUAAUAUCAAAGCUAAGACCCACCAUUAUCCUUGAUUUCAUCAUGCCUGGUGCCUGUAUUGCAGGGGAUGUGGUUCUACCACAAAGCUUCUGAGAAGUCUGGAUCAUGAGAUUUGUGAAUUGUUAGUGCUGAGCAUUGCACAGGAUUAUGAAAAGACCACAGUUUCAAUUGCAGCAUUUGUAUAGUUUUGGUCAUGUACAGUCUAUGUUAAGUUUUAGAGAAAGCUAUGUGAAGAAAACCUUGUUUGUACAGAUAUGACUAACAUAUUAAAAGCAUUAUUUUAAAGUAAGUUUUAUCUUGGCAGAGUGUAAAAUAAUAUAUCUUUAUCACAAGGGAGAUUUCAGAAAAUAUAUUUGGUUAAUGCCCUGGUUACAUUAUAGAAAUUUACUGCAAAUGGUUGGUGUGCAAAAAGAAACCGAAACAGAAAAAACAGAUCGUAAGUUUGAAAUUAUGUGUAAUAUUUUGUGAUGAAUACUGAUUAGUUACUCUUAAACCAUUUCUUCAAUCAGGUAGGUUUUUUUUAUUUGAUUUGAUUUUCAACUUCUUAUAAACUGGUAGAACAAUAUCAUUACCAUCCCUGUCGCACAGAUAAUACAAUUCCUGUUUCCUCAGAAGUAUCUAGAUUUCUGUGUAUUUGUCAGGGUUCAUAUAUCACUGCAGCUCCUGUAAAAAACCAAAUUAUUUAUUGACUUUUCUUUAUGGUGCAAGAGGGAACACAUGCCUACAUUCUGAAUAAAACUCCUGCUUACUAAACCAAACUAUGGAAAAGGAGAGUCUUAGUCCAUCCCUUGUCAUUUUGUUUUUUGGACAGCACAUAUUUUUGAUAAUCCUACUGUUCAGACAGUAAAUAUUUAACUGCAUCUUUUUAAUUUAUAACUGAUGUAACCUGUUGAAAACCAGAGCUCUUUCUGGGAAGCGUCUCUUCAGAACUUUUGUAGAUACACUCAGAUAGAUAUGCUCAGCUCUAGUGAAACUAUGGUUUUGGCUGUGAUUCCUCCAGAUGACCAUUAGCAAAAGGCAAAAAGUGCCCAGCAGAAAUUUUGCUCUAUAUGUGGGUAUGAUGUGCUAUCAUUUUAUGAUUAGGUCCUCACAUAAGCAGAUUUUAAAAGGCGAUGAUCUAGUUUGCUCCAGGUUAGAGCUGGAAGUCAUUUUGGCAAUUGAAUAUAGGAAAGUUAGCAUUUGCUUUGAGGGCAUCUUCUGAUCUAGCUUUCUGCCAUGGUAGCCAUAUUAUGUCCUGCUUUACUUUCUUAUUCUCCCUACAUGAAGGGGUAGAUUAAUCCAUGAAUUCUUAUUUUCUUUGUCACUGGACUGGGCUUAUGCCCAUUACAGUUCAAGGAUUUUUCAUCUUGUCAGCUGAGUCAUCACUUUUCCAAGUUUGCUCUACUGAUUUCCUUUGUAGACUUUGAAUAUUCAAUCUGUUAGACAUUUAAAAUUGAAUGAUGCCAGGAAACUGAAAUAGGUUUAACAAUAAUCUUGUUCUUUGUGUCAUCUUCCAUCUCAAGGCAGUAAGCCUCUGUUUUCCACCCUAAAUGCUUAUUCGAUACUCAUCUUUUCAUUUUCUGGCUAAGGGUCCAAGCUGGAGGCAUCUAUGACAUUGGGAGAUUUUAAUCAUGAACUAGUAAAUCAAUUUAUCCAUAGGAGGAACAAUCUAUAAUGUUUAGAGGCUUUCAAAAAACUGCAUUUAACAGAUUGGAUCAGUUUGACUGUCUCUGAAGGCAAAUCUGUACAUCUUUCAAUACCAUUUCCACUACAUUUGCUAGUCCUAUUACUUUAAGCCUGCCAUUAUAUUUUAGUUCUCUAAACAUUACCACAAGACAGACAUAUGUCCUGUAUCAUAUCCACUAGGACAUUUUCAAAGGUUUAACAAUCAGCUGAUUGUUUCUGGUUUUACUGGAGUAAUUGUUUCAUUUUACCUCUCCUUCCAUUAUAAAAUUUUAUGUGUUCUACAAUACCUUUGGUAGCUUUGAUGUACAAGCAGUUUUAGUAGUCUUCUGUAAUUUCAUGGUCUUCUAUAACUCCUGUUCUUCUCAACAAAGUUCUUCAAAGGGAGCAAAUUUGAUUGCCACAGAUAAAAGAGCAUAGGAAAAAGGAGGGAUGGAGAGAACAAACUGUAAUCCUAAUCUGUGAUCUCAUAUGUGAUAAUUUAGUGUACCAUUCAAUUGCUGCCAAGUCAACUUUCACAUGGAAUGUGAAAUGCUUUAAAUUUCCAAAUUUAUAAAGGAUCUGUAGACUUAAAUUCAUUCCAGAAACUUAAAGUUAACUGCAUUGCAAGCAAAAUGGAGGAAAAACUUGCACAUCAGCAGGGUGAAGGAAAUAGGCUGUGCACUUUCUGUCUGAUCAGGCUUCUCAUAGCUGACACUAACCCUUGUAAAACCAUAUUAUAACUGUUGUACUUGAGUGGUAUGAAGAUAAAUGAAGCCUAUCAUUAGCCUAUAAUUCUUCUCUCUGGUAAAUCAGAAAGUAGCUAACAACCCUCUAUCUACCAGAUUUAGUGAUAAGAAGUAGACAGAACAUUGACCAAAUAAAAAUAAAUAGGUGAACUUAAUUUAGCUGUGUAAAACUUUGACUACACUAUUAACUCUAUUUUUCAGACCCUUGUCUAAGUCUGCUUUUUCCAUACUGGCAUUUGCUAAGAAAACCUGCUACAAACCCUACCAAUAUACUACAAGGGUACUUGUGUUCUUGAAAUCACAAGGCUGCAUGUAGCCCUCAGUUCUCUUCUCAGAGAGAAAUGGAUUCUACAAGGCUGAGAAUAUUUUAAACUCUAAGACUCGAGUGAAGGUCAAGGAGCCAGGUGUUUUGUGUCAAACAGCUAUAUGCAGAGUUGAGUCUUCUGGAAGCACAGAGUCUAAUCACUCUGAGGACAGGUACCUAUAGCAUCAGCAGAGCAUGAUCAGCCUCCCAGUUACCUGAAGGAGAUCCCCUCCAUCAGCAGCCCAUCAGUCUAAACAUCCAUUUCUGUGAUUCUACAUCAAAUUUGAUAAGAUUCGUUGUCACAGUAAGUAGACAAACACCUGUCACUGUUGACCCUCCCAUAAGAGGCAAAGGACUGGAGCAACACAUCUCAACUGAAUUAUUUAGAGUUAACUAGCAUCUCAUUAAGAAUCAUUACAGAACAUAGCUCUAUGAUGAGUGAUUCAUGUGUUUUUGUUAGUGCCUUGGUAAAUAAUGUCCUACAGAGUAAGAAACUGGAUUAAAGGACCACUUGCCAUUCUUUGACUUCCUCUUCUGUGUUUCUAGGUUUGUAAAUCUGUACUUAUUUAUACUGUUUUAAACCUGUAUCUCUACUGCUUUAGUAGCAGUGAAUAUGCCCUCAGGUUCCCAAGGCUUGUGGCAUGCAAACAGUGAGUUCCAACACAGACCAACCAAUUGCAUCCACAUUAUACUUUGGUGGGGUGUUUGUAGGUUUUCAUUGCAGAAUUCGGUAAUCCGCUUACUAAUCCCAACCUGCCUGCCUGCCUCAUGCACACCUUAGGACCAUGAAGCACAGUGGAAAGAAGAGAGCCUCUCCUCUAUGGUUACUCUGGGUUGGCCAGCAAGAAAGCUAAGACCUGCAAUAAAGAAUCUUCCCUCAUGGCUAUCUAUGCCUCCAAUGAAAGAACUAGGCAAACCAAUAUUGGUGGAUAAAUUCCUUCUCCCACUAAUACAUUUCACCAGGGAGGAUUUUGAAGAUGACACCAAGCCGAGUGAUGUGGCUGACGUGCCUGAGGGAUGGGAUGCCAAGCAGAGGGACCUGGACAAGUUCAAGAAGGAUUAACAUGAGGCUCAAUAAGGCCAAGUGGGAGGUUCUACAUCUGGGCCAGGAAAACACCUUGUAUCAAUACAGGCUGGGUGCAGAAAUAGUUGAGAGCAGCAGUGCAGAGAAGGACUUGGGGGUGUUGGUUGACAACAAUCUCAACAUGACCUGGCAGUGUGCACUUGCAGCCCAGAAGGGCAACCAUAUACUGGGCUGCAUGAAAAGAAGUGUGGCCAGCAGGUCAAGAGAGGUGAUUCUACCCCUCUGCUCUGGUGAUACUGCAGAUACCUGGAGUACUGCAUCCAGUUCUGGAAUCCUCAGUACAGGAAAGACAUGGACGUGUUGGAGCAGGUCCAGAGAAGGGCUACAAAAAUGAUCAGAGGGCUGGAGCACUUCUAUGAGGAAAAGCUGUGAGAGUUGGGGUUGUUCAGCCUGGAGAAGAGAAAGCUCCAGGGAGGCUGUAUUAAAUUCUUAAAGGGGGUUUAGAAAUAAGAUGGGGACAGACUUUUUAGUAGGGCCUGUUGCAAUAGGACAAGGGGUAGUGGUUUUAGACUAAAAAAGGGAAGAUUCAGACUAGAUGUAAGGAGGCAAUUUUUUAUGAUGAGUGUGGUGAGACACUGGUACAGGUUGUCCAGAAUGGUGCUAGGUGACCCAUCCCUGAAAGCAUUCAAGAUUCAGUUGGAUGUGGCUUUGAGCAACCUGAUCUCAUUGAAGAUGUCCCUACUCAUUGCAAGGGAGGCUGGACUAGAUGACCUUUAAAGGUCCUUUCCAAGACAAACUAUUUUAUGAUUCUAUGAAUCAUAACUUUUCCCUGCCUUGAACAGAAAGCAGGUCAUUCUUCCUCCAG